Molecule: ribosomal RNA, 499 nt
Filed under: uncultured bacterium
Lineage: Bacteria
Description: partial 16S ribosomal RNA
Rfam family: Bacterial small subunit ribosomal RNA
Source: RNAcentral
AUUGAACGCUGGCGGCAUGCCUUACACAUGCAAGUCGAACGGCAGCACGGGAGCAAUCCUGGUGGCGAGUGGCGAACGGGUGAGUAAUAUAUCGGAACGUGCCCAGUCGUGGGGAUAACGUAGCGAAAGCUACGCUAAUACCGCAUACGAUCUAUGGAUGAAAGCGGGGGAUCGCAAGACCUCGCGCGAUUGGAGCGGCCGAUAUCAGAUUAGGUAGUUGGUGAGGUAAAGGCUCACCAAGCCGACGAUCUGUAGCUGGUCUGAGAGGACGACCAGCCACACUGGGACUGAGACACGGCCCAGACUCCUACGGGAGGCAGCAGUGGGGAAUUUUGGACAAUGGGCGCAAGCCUGAUCCAGCAAUGCCGCGUGCAGGGUGAAGGCCCUCGGGUUGUAAACUGCUUUUGUACGGAACGAAACGGCGAGCUCUAAUACAGUUUGCUAAUGACGGUACCGUAAGAAUAAGCACCGGCUAACUACGUGCCAGCCGCCGCGGUAA